AGUUGUGGGGAGCUAAGCUGAGAGGUCCAGUACACCAAGAUGCUGGUUGGGUUGGGAGUGCUAUGGACUAGGUCAAGUGCCUGUUGAACAGCUAAAUGUGGUUGACUAAACAAGGAGCAUGGGGCAGUUGUGCAGAGAGAAGCAGACAUGUAACAUGGAGGAGUCAUAUUAACGACAAACUUCUAGAACAGAGUUUCAUGCUACGUUUAGACAUUUCCCGAAGUUCCAGGCACAGUGAGCUCUAUUUGUACUUGAAUUCCUAUCCUUGGAUUUAUGCUUCCUGAUCUGGCUUCAUUUGGUGUCUGUUUCUUGCAUCCAAAAGAGGCCCAACCCAAGCAACCCUUUACAUAGAUUUCAUUUAAUUUGUGCUUCGUCCCCUCGGAGGUCACAUGUACCACGGAGCCCAUUUGGAGGUCAGAGGACAACUUGCGGGUGUUGGUUCUCUCUUUCCACCAUGCAGGUCUUGGAAUGAAAUUCAGAUCUGGUAAGCAGGAGACCCUUCAAGAGUGUUCCUUUGCCAUGCUGUCAUUAGUCUUUGAGUACUUCCUGCAACUCCUGUUUCUUCUAGCAUAAAAUGGUAUUUAUAAGUAUGGCUACCAGCCCUCUUCAAAGAAGACUCUCUUUACAGCAAAUGUAGACCAUCACAGAAAAGCUGGGAUUAAAGGCAUGCGUCACCAACGCCCGGCGGCAUGCAUGUAUUCUAAGCAUCUAUGUCCCUACGCUCUUCCCCUCCUUCCCGAUGGCCAACUCCCAGGUGGGACUCAAGCUGGAACAGCCUCUAUCUGCUUUGCCUGGAGAAACCGUUUUGAAAUAGGAGGCAGGGCGUUUCUGCCUCCAAAUUUUGCAGCAAAGUUUUGUCUACUCACCUCUGACUCAUGUCCGGAUGCAAAGGUUGAUGUCCAGGUAUUAGCCAACCCCGCCCCCCAACGCCCAACCCUGUGCUUAGACUGUCUCCAAGGGAAGGUGUCCCUGAACUUCAAGAUUCUGUGAAGAAGCAAGAUUCAGCUGAUGCUGUCUGAGAGCAAGAUGGAAAAACACUGUGGCUGCAGCCCAAGAGUAUAACUUUUCAAUGAUGAAAAAAGAAGCUGAAAUCAUGGCCCACUUCCUUCCAGGGGUCGUUGCUCUAGAGAUGAUUAUCACAGUCAGAGUCUUCCACUUUGGUGCAAAACUCCAAGAAGGGGAAACUUGUGCAGCCAGAGAUAGAAGAGCAUGAACACUGUCCCCACACCCUUCUUUAGAAGCUUAAGCCAGGCUCAGUGGCUCACUCUUUCUACCUGCUGCUUGUGGAUCCAGAUGUAGAACUCUCAGCUACCUCUCCAGUACCAUGUCUGUCUGUGUGUCUUCAUGAUGCCUGCCAUGAUGAUAAUGGACUAAACCUCUGAACUGUAAGCCAG
Molecule: long non-coding RNA, 1394 nt
Filed under: Cricetulus griseus (Chinese hamster)
Lineage: Eukaryota; Metazoa; Chordata; Mammalia; Rodentia; Cricetidae
Description: lncRNA (ENSCGRG00015043098.1)
Source: RNAcentral